UGUACAGAUUGCUAUUGGCAG
Molecule: unclassified non-coding RNA, 21 nt
Filed under: Chlamydomonas reinhardtii
Lineage: Eukaryota; Viridiplantae; Chlorophyta; Chlorophyceae; Chlamydomonadales; Chlamydomonadaceae
Description: small RNA Cre_3515
Source: RNAcentral